Molecule: ribosomal RNA, 249 nt
Filed under: uncultured bacterium
Lineage: Bacteria
Description: partial 16S ribosomal RNA
Rfam family: Bacterial small subunit ribosomal RNA
Source: RNAcentral
AGACGGUGACGUUAAGCAAAUCCCAGAAAUAACGUCCCAGUUCGGAUUGUAGUCUGCAACCCGACUACAUGAAGCUGGAAUCGCUAGUAAUCGCGAAUCAGAAUGUCGCGGUGAAUACGUUCCCGGGUCUUGUACACACCGCCCGUCACACCAUGGGAGUCGGAAAUGCCCGAAGUCAGUGACCCAACCGUAAGGAGGGAGCUGCCGAAGGUGGAGCCGGUAACUGGGGUGAAGUCGUAACAAGGUACC